This 2556-nucleotide long non-coding RNA is filed under the name Trifolium pratense (red clover). RNAcentral describes it as "long non-coding RNA (TPRA_LNC007423)". Lineage: Eukaryota; Viridiplantae; Streptophyta; Magnoliopsida; Fabales; Fabaceae. The record is from RNAcentral.
CUUUUUAAUGUAGCGACAAUAAUUUCGAAAAGAUUUUAACCAAAUUUAAUAUUCAAAGUAUAUAUUUCAAAUAAAAGUGAGCAAAUAUAUGAACUCCUUCAUUCAAAUGUUUGUAGUAUUACAUAAUUGCAUAACAGAGUACCUCCUUUCUAUUGGUACUAAAAGGGAGCAACAUGUACUGUGACUAUACAAAUUAAGACAAUAUUUUCUAAAAACCAUAAUAAAACUAAAAUUGGACACUUUUGGUGUAAAUAGUAAAUUUCCUUUCAUCGCCUCCAAUCUUGAAUUGGUUGCAAAAUCAUAUGAAGAAGCACCUAUAACAUGCCUUCUGUUACUUUUCAAUGAUCUUUAUCAAUUCCAACAUUUCUUUGAUCGUAAUCCCUUUUCAUCGUAUUGCUCCAAUGCAAAACCUGCUACACCAAAUUAAUCAAUAGUUGAACAAAAACAGAACUACAAUGUCACUAUAACUUUGCUAACAACACACCCUCUAUACACUAGAAUGCAUAUUGCCAUUACAAAAUUAGAGUAUCACUGUUAUCUCUAAUGUAAAUGUACCAAAUUACAUCUAGCCAUUUCAUUGAAAAUUCAAUUUCCUAUUUGAACUAUUUAUUAGGAAUAUGAGAAUAAGUGAUGGUUCCUUUUAUAUACUCAACAAACCUGCUCCUAGACUACAACAACUCUUAAAUAAAAACAACAAUAUACCUAGACAUCCUCUAAAAAGUAAAGGGCUGCAAAACCAAACACAGUGGUGUCUACAUUGCUAAAUAAUGAAAAAUAAUAAAAGAACAAGAAAACCAAAUCAAUUAAUUAACAAACUAUAUCAAGAAAUCUACCCAUGUUUCAUAUAUGUAAUAGAAGAAAUUAUAUCACCUGUGAAAUGAGAAGUUGGGUCCAAUUUAGAGUAAUCUUUGAUUCUUCUUCCUUUGUAGGCAACUCACUCAAAUAGCAAGUCUAUGAAUCACAAAAAAUAGUUUUACUAUUACUAAUUUAAUUACACUUCAAAUUAUGCUAAAAAAAGAUAUUAAAAAGGCUGUAAAGCCUUCUUAAUUUGUCAGGAAAUGCCUAACCAGUUAGUAAUUGAGCUGCAUUAUUCACCAACACCAAAGUAGUUUGUUUUAAGGCAUGUUUCAGUUAAUUCCUCCUUCUCACUUAGUUGUGAUGCAUUAUUCACCUACACCAAAUGUUAACAUUUCAUACAAUUGAUUAUCAAUUGGUUUCUUUUGGAAGGAAAAAAGCAACGAGAUAUAAGAAGUAAUUUGACAUUUCAAUAUCAAUUUCAUAUUCAAUAUUAUCCUCAUUAUUGUGAAGAAUGCAACAACUACCUAUAUUGUACAUAUCAAAAACUUCACAUCUCAAUUCCAUUUAUGAAAACAAGUCCCCCCGUCAUUGGUUUAUAUCUCUCAGAGCAUUACCAAUAUGUAUAGCAUACACAACAUCAUUGCAUCAUCAUUUUUCAUGAGUUUUUAGUCAAGGUGAAUUGGUUCAUUCGUACUCCAAUCAUGAGUUUUCACUCAACGUGAAUUGGAUCAUUCAUAAAACCACUAUCCUCUACAUACUAAGUAUUAACUAGUAAUUAGUAUUUAGUAAUCAACUAUAUUUCACAAAAAACCAGCAAACCCAAAACCAAAAUCUAGAAAGUAUAAACAAUUAUCAUAAACCUAUACACACCAAAAACCAACAAAUUGUGCCAUUCAAAUACGGCCAAAUCUUGAUAGGUUUGAAGGUUAACAAAAUAUGAAAAACAUGCAAAUAAUAAUCAGACAAAUUAACAUCAAGCUUCUAACUGAGCCAAGAACAGAGAAAUUUAGUUUAGGAUGAAAGAGGAUGUUAGGUUUUUGGCACAAUUUAGGGAAAACCCAAUCUAAGUUGGAGUCGAUAAAGAGACUCACUGAUAUAAGAAGUUGAUGUUGGUCAACACUGUGGAAAAUACCUGCAUAAUAGUGAGUUAAUAAAUUAGAGUGCUUCUUCCUAACAUAAGAAAAUAACACAAAACCCAGAAAAAACAAGCUAGAAGAAAAUAAGAACAAACAAACCCAGAAUAACUUACUAGAAAAAAUCCUUCAACAAAUCCAGAUCUGCAUUCUGCUAAUUCCUUCUCAGUGUUCGUGCUUAAGCUAAAGCAUACAGAUCAAUCAUGAAACCCUUAUCGUAGAAACCAACUCCGCUAGCUAAUCUAUGAAAUUAUGACGCCACUGAGACAAGGUCUCCAGAUUGAAGCCAUUGAUUUUGGUCAUAAAAAAAAUACGAGAAAGAGGAAUAGAUCAGAAACCCUAGAAAAAUAGGGAUUGAAUGGUGUAAGAGAAUAGAUUAGAAACCCUAAAAAUCUAGGGAUUGAGCGGUGAGAGAUAAUUUAUAAAGCUACAGAUUGAAGUGGAUUUUCAAUUUUGUGGUGUUUGAAGAGAUUUUUUUUCGAAACUUGCAAACGGAGGAGAAGGAAGCCACACUGUGGGGAUUUAACUCUCAAACUUGUUUUUGUGUGUGAUGGGUUUCUCUACGCCUGCCUGUGUUUGGAUGAGAUUAGUCUUUUAAUUGAAUUUGAACUAGUGUGGUAAAAAU